This 497-nucleotide ribosomal RNA is filed under the name uncultured bacterium. RNAcentral describes it as "partial 16S ribosomal RNA". It matches the Rfam family "Bacterial small subunit ribosomal RNA", at positions 28 to 507 of the family's 1533-position model. The record is from RNAcentral.
GAUGAACGCUGGCGGCGUGCCUAAUACAUGCAAGUCGAGCGAACGGACGAGAAGCUUGCUUCUCUGAUGUUAGCGGCGGACGGGUGAGUAACACGUGGAUAACCUACCUAUAAGACUGGGAUAACUUCGGGAAACCGGAUCUAAUACCGGAUAAUAUUUUGAACCGCAUGGUUCAAAAGUGAAAGACGGUCUUUCUGUCACUUAUAGAUGGAUCCGCGCUGCAUUAGCUAGUUGGUAAGGUAACGGCUUACCAAGGCAACGAUGGAUAGCCGACCUGAGAGGGUGAUCGGCCACACUGGAACUGAGACACGGUCCAGACUCCUACGGGAGGCAGCAGUAGGGAAUCUUCCGCAAUGGGCGAAAGCCUGACGGAGCAACGCCGCGUGAGUGAUGAAGGUCUUCGGAUCGUAAAACUCUGUUAUUAGGGAAGAACAUAUGUGUAAGUAACUGUGCACAUCUUGACGGUACCUAAUCAGAAAGCCACGGCUAACUACGUG